GACGAACGCUGGCGGCGUGCUUAACACAUGCAAGUCGAACGGUAAGGCCCUUCGGGGUCCACGAGUGGCGAACGGGUGAGUAACACGUGGGUAAUCUGCCCUGCACAUCGGGAUAAGCCUGGGAAACUGGGUCUAAUACCGAAUAGGACCACAGGACACAUGUCCUGUGGUGGAAAGCUUUUGCGGUGUGGGAUGGGCCCGCGGCCUAUCAGCUUGUUGGUGGGGUGAUGGCCUACCAAGGCGACGACGGGUAGCCGGCCUGAGAGGGUGUCCGGCCACACUGGGACUGAGAUACGGCCCAGACUCCUACGGGAGGCAGCAGUGGGGAAUAUUGCACAAUGGGCGAAAGCCUGAUGCAGCGACGCCGCGUGGGGGAUGACGGCCUUCGGGUUGUAAACCUCUUUCACCAUCGACGAAGGUCCGGGUUUUCUCGGGCUGACGGUAGGUGGAGAAGAAGCACCGGCCAACUACGUG
RNAcentral lists this ribosomal RNA (474 nucleotides) under uncultured bacterium. Its description in RNAcentral is "partial 16S ribosomal RNA". It matches the Rfam family "Bacterial small subunit ribosomal RNA", at positions 28 to 507 of the family's 1533-position model. The record is from RNAcentral.